RNAcentral lists this ribosomal RNA (478 nucleotides) under Phaeosphaeriopsis sp. 5472. Its description in RNAcentral is "eukaryotic LSU rRNA". The stretch from base 112 to 265 matches the Rfam family "5.8S ribosomal RNA". Lineage: Eukaryota; Fungi; Ascomycota; Dothideomycetes; Pleosporales; Phaeosphaeriaceae. The record is from RNAcentral.
CCCUUGUUUUUGCGUACCUAUUGUUUCCUCGGCGGGCUUGCUCGCCGGUUGGACAAAACUAUAACCUUUUUUAAAUCUUCAAUCAGCGUCUGAAUUAUACAUAAUAAUUACAACUUUCAACAACGGAUCUCUUGGUUCUGGCAUCGAUGAAGAACGCAGCGAAAUGCGAUAAGUAGUGUGAAUUGCAGAAUUCAGUGAAUCAUCGAAUCUUUGAACGCACAUUGCGCCCCUUGGUAUUCCAUGGGGCAUGCCUGUUCGAGCGUCAUUUGUACCCUCAAGCUUUGCUUGGUGUUGGGCGUCUUGUCUUGUAUUAGACUCGCCUUAAAGUCAUUGGCAGCCAGUGUUUUUGGUAGUAAGCGCAGCACAUUUUGCGUCUUAGUCCUUGAAUCGUGGCAUCCAUGAAGCCUUUUUUCACUUUUGACCUCGGAUCAGGUAGGGAUACCCGCUGAACUUAAGCAUAUCAAUAAGCGGAGGAAGA